CAUUCGACAGACCAUAUAUGGUGUCCCAUAAAUCCCUCGGGGGGAUAAUACGUGAAUAAUUAGUUCCAUACAAUGACGAUUCUUGUCAUCGCAUGCGGUAAGGUUGUUUCGCUUAUUCCUCGGUGAAUGAAAGUGUCUCAGUAUCGGUGUCCUGCACAGAGAGCUACAGUAGCCUACACAAUUAACUACGUAUACUUUCGUAUACUUCGUACACUUCGUACAGCAGUAUUCUUGCAUCCACACACUCUCUAUUCCAGCAACCGUUCGUAACGUUCAAACAUACGUAUUGGAUUGCCCCAUAAAAAAUGUUUGGUAGAAUUGCGACUUUUAUUUCAACACGUACUGUACAAACUUUUAAGACAAGGCGCAACAUGUUCGCUACUAUACCCGGAAUGUGCUUAUUUGGCGUGCCAGUGUGGGUUGCUGUUGGACUGCCAUCUUCAGAAGGACAUACCAAGAAGCCGGAUAUUGACAGAGCAACUACAAACGACCAGGACACUUGCUAACAGUAAAUGGACUCAAAGGAUUUGGCGUGUUCGGCGAUUAUGAAACAUUGACCGAGUCAACAUACAAAUGUUAUUCAAUAUAUUUAAGUCGCACAUUAACAUCCAAUGACAAGCGCAAGUUUACCCACACGACUUCCUUCAUUUACACAUCGCACUUGAUAGCUUGCUUGAUAUCCGAAUUUCAGUUUAUAUCGACACGUGUCUUAGUGUAUCAAAAUCAGCGAGUCUGAUUCUUAGAUUGGCAUUAUAUACGCUUAAACGUUGGCUGGUUUUCCAACGGAUUUUAGAAAGUCAAAACUACGCAGGCAGAGUUUUCAUUGAUGGCAUUUUGAUAAUGUAGAAAGUUGAGAAAAGUUUGCAAAGUGAGCUGAAACUAGUGCUCUCCUUGAGUGAGAAACUCUCUUAAUCAUAAUUGUUCGAAUAAUUUGAAAAUAAAUCGAUGAAUUGAAUGUA
RNAcentral lists this long non-coding RNA (959 nucleotides) under Saccoglossus kowalevskii. Its description in RNAcentral is "uncharacterized LOC102805429". Lineage: Eukaryota; Metazoa; Hemichordata; Enteropneusta; Harrimaniidae. The record is from RNAcentral.